Molecule: ribosomal RNA, 555 nt
Filed under: uncultured archaeon
Lineage: Archaea
Description: bacterial SSU rRNA
Rfam family: Archaeal small subunit ribosomal RNA
Source: RNAcentral
CGGGGUGCAGCAGGCGCGAAAACUUUACAAUGCUGGCAACAGCGAUAAGGGGACCUCGAGUGCCAGGAUACAAUCUUGGCUGUCGCGAUGCCUAAAAAGCAUUGCAUAGCAAGGGCCGGGCAAGACCGGUGCCAGCCGCCGCGGUAACACCGGCGGCUCGAGUGGUAACCGCUAUUAUUGGGUCUAAAGGGUCUGUAGCCGGCCGGAUAAGUCUUUUGGGAAAUCCAGCUGCUCAACAGUUGGGCUUUCAGAAGAUACUGUUCGGCUCGAGACCGGGAGAGGUGAGAGGUACUUCAGGGGUAGGGGUGAAAUCUUGUAAUCCUUGAAGGACCACCAGUGGCGAAGGCGUCUCACCAGAACGGAUCUGACGGCAAGGGACGAAAGCUAGGGGCACGAACCGGAUUAGAUACCCGGGUAGUCCUAGCCGUAAACGAUACUCGCUAGGUGUCAGCCACGGUGCGACCGUGGUUGGUGCCGUAGGGAAGCCGUGAAGCGAGCCACCUGGGAAGUACGGCCGCAAGGCUGAAACUUAAAGGAAUUGGCGGGGGAGCACAA